Molecule: ribosomal RNA, 697 nt
Filed under: uncultured bacterium
Lineage: Bacteria
Description: bacterial SSU rRNA
Rfam family: Bacterial small subunit ribosomal RNA
Source: RNAcentral
UCAAACUUGAGAACGCUGGCGGCAUGCUCACACAUGCAAGUUGAACGGGUUUAAGUUAUUAAACUUAACAAGUAGCGGACGGGUGAGUAACGCGUAAGAACCUACCUUUAGAGUAAGGAAUAACUAUUGGAAACGAUAGAUAAUACCUUAUAAGCUUAUAGUAAAAGAUAAAAUCGCCUAAGGAUGGGCUUGCGUCUGAUUAGCUUGUAGGUGAUUUAACAAGAUUCACCAAGGCAACGAUCAGUAGUUGGUCUAAGAGGAUGAUCAAACAAACUGGGACUGAGACACGGACCAGAACUCUACGGAGGGCAGCAGUGAGGAAUUUUCCGCAAUGGGCGAAAGCCUGACGGAGCAAUGCCGCGUGGAGGAUGAAAAGCUUGUGAGUCGUAAAAUCCUUUACUUAGUUGAAGAACUAAGACGGUAUCUCAGGAAUAAGCAUCGGCUAACUCCCGUGCAGCAGACGCGGUAAUACGGAGGAAUUGCAGCGUAUAUCCGAAUUAUUGGGCGUACAAACGUCUGUACAGUGGGAUCAUAAGUCCUAAUGUUAAAUAUUACAGGCUUAACCUUAAAAAAAGCGGUAUGAAACUACAAACACUGAGUUUAGCACAAGUAGAGGGAAUCUCAAGUGAGGGUGCAAGCGUAAGACCAGGAGACACGGGAGCGAAAGAGCCACUGGGUAAAAUGACCGGAGAGAAGU